CCGCCGUUGGGCCGGGCCACCCCCGGCCGUGCGGUGUCCGGCGGGGUGCCGGCCCCGACCCGCGGUUGGGUACCCGUGGCCGCGGUC
This 87-nucleotide transfer RNA is filed under the name Micromonospora sagamiensis. Its description in RNAcentral is "tRNA-Arg". The record is from RNAcentral. Lineage: Bacteria; Bacillati; Actinomycetota; Actinomycetes; Micromonosporales; Micromonosporaceae.